AACGAACGCUGGCGGCAUGCCUAACACAUGCAAGUCGAACGAGACCUUCGUGUCUAGUUGCUCACGGGUGCGUAACGCGUGGGAACCUUCCCUUAUGUUCGGAAUAACUCCCCGAAAGGGGUGCUAAUACCGGAUAAUGUCUUCGGACCAAAGAUUUAUCGACUUUGUAUGGGCCCGCGUUGGAUUAGCUAGUUGGUAGGGUAAAAGCCUACCAAGGCUACGAUCCAUAGCUGGUCUGAGAGGAUGAUCAGCCACACUGGGACUGAGACACGGCCCAGAAUACUACGGGAGGCAGCAGUGGGUAAUAUUGGAAAAUGGGCGAAAGCAUGAUCCAGCAAUGCCGCGUGAGUGAUGAAGGCCUUAGGGUUGUAAAGCUCUUUUACCCGGGAUGAUAAUGACAGUACCGGGAGAAUAAGCUCCGGCUAACUCCGUG
RNAcentral lists this ribosomal RNA (433 nucleotides) under uncultured bacterium. RNAcentral describes it as "partial 16S ribosomal RNA". It matches the Rfam family "Bacterial small subunit ribosomal RNA", at positions 29 to 507 of the family's 1533-position model. The record is from RNAcentral.